UACGGGAGUGGCAAGCGUUAUCCGGAAUUAUUGGGCGUAAAGCGUCCGCAGGCGGUCUUGUAAGUCUGUUGUUAAAGCGUGGAGCUUAACUCCAUUUCAGCAAUGGAAACUGUAAGACUAGAGUGUGGUAGGGGCAGAGGGAAUUCCCGGUGUAGCGGUGAAAUGCGUAGAUAUCGGGAAGAACACCAGUGGCGAAGGCGCUCUGCUGGGCCAUAACUGACGCUCAUGGACGAAAGCCAGGGGAGCGAAAGGGAUUAGAUACCCCUGUAGUCCUGGCCGUAAACGAUGAACACUAGGUGUCGGGGGAAUCGACCCCCUCGGUGUCGUAGCCAACGCGUUAAGUGUUCCGCCUGGGGAGUACGCACGCAAGUGUGAAACUCAAAGGAAUUGACGGGGGCCCGCACAAGCGGUGGAGUAUGUGGUUUAAUUCGAUGCAACGCGAAGAACCUUACCAGGGUUUGACAUCCUGCGAAUCUCUUGGAAACGAGAGAGUGCCUUCGGGAACGCAGUGACAGGUGGUGCAUGGCUGUCGUCAGCUCGUGUCGUGAGAUGUUGGGUUAAGUCCCGCAACGAGCGCAACCCACGUCGUUAGUUGCCAGCAUUUAGUUGGGCACUCUAGCGAGACCGCCGGUGAUAAACCGGAGGAAGGUGUGGAUGACGUCAAGUCAUCAUGCCCCCUACAUCCUGGGCUACACACGUACUACAAUGCUACGGACAAAGGGCAGCAAACUCGCGAGAGCUAGCAAAUCCCAUAAACCGUGGCUCAGUUCAGAUCGUAGGCUGCAACUCGCCUACGUGAAGGAGGAAUCGCUAGUAAUCGCAGGUCAGCAUACUGCGGUGAAUACGUUCCCGGGCCU
This 857-nucleotide ribosomal RNA is filed under the name uncultured bacterium. RNAcentral's name for it is "SSU rRNA". It matches the Rfam family "Bacterial small subunit ribosomal RNA", at positions 524 to 1381 of the family's 1533-position model. The record is from RNAcentral.